UGAGGAAUAUUGGACAAUGGGCGCAAGCCUGAUCCAGCCAUGCCGCGUGCAGGAUGACGGUCCUAUGGAUUGUAAACUGCUUUUAUACGAGAAGAAACACUCCCUCGUGAGGGAGCUUGACGGUAUCGUAAGAAUAAGGAUCGGCUAACUCCGUGCCAGCAGCCGCGGUAAUACGGAGGAUCCAAGCGUUAUCCGGAAUCAUUGGGUUUAAAGGGUCCGUAGGCGGUUUGGUAAGUCAGUGGUGAAAGCCCAUCGCUCAACGGUGGAACGGCCAUUGAUACUGCAAGACUUGAAUUAUUAGGAAGUAACUAGAAUAUGUAGUGUAGCGGUGAAAUGCUUAGAGAUUACAUGGAAUACCAAUUGCGAAGGCAGGUUACUACGAAUGGAUUGACGCUGAUGGACGAAAGCGUGGGUAGCGAACAG
Molecule: ribosomal RNA, 423 nt
Filed under: uncultured bacterium
Lineage: Bacteria
Description: bacterial SSU rRNA
Rfam family: Bacterial small subunit ribosomal RNA
Source: RNAcentral